AGCAGCCGCGGUAAUUCUAGCUCCAAUAGCGUAUAUUAAAGUUGUUGCAGUUAAAAAGCUCGUAGUUGAAUUUCGGGAUUAGUACGUUGGUCGUGCCUUCGGUACGUACUGGUGUUACUGAUUCCUACCUUCUGACGAACCAUCAUGUCAUUUAUUUGGUGUGGCGGGGAAUCAGGACUGUUACUUUGAAAAAAAUUAGAGUGUUUAAAGCAGGCUCGCGCUUGAAUACAUUAGCAUGGAAUAAUGAAAUAGGACGUUGACCCUAUUUUGUUGGUUUCUAGGAUUGACGUAAUGAUUAAUAGGGAUAGUUGGGGGCAUUAGUAUUCAAUUGUCAGAGGUGAAAUUCUUGGAUUUAUUGAAGACUAACUACUGCGAAAGCAUUUGCCAAGGAUGUUUUCAUUAAUCAAGAACGAAAGUUAGGGGAUCGAAGACGAUCAGAUACCGUCGUAGUCUUAACCAUAAACUAUGCCGACUAGGGAUCGGAUGAUGUUAUUUUUAAUGACUCAUUCGGCGCCUUACG
RNAcentral lists this ribosomal RNA (520 nucleotides) under uncultured Glomus. RNAcentral's name for it is "SSU rRNA". It matches the Rfam family "Eukaryotic small subunit ribosomal RNA", at positions 569 to 1092 of the family's 1831-position model. Lineage: Eukaryota; Fungi; Glomeromycota; Glomeromycetes; Glomerales; Glomeraceae. The record is from RNAcentral.